Molecule: long non-coding RNA, 740 nt
Filed under: Rhinopithecus bieti (black snub-nosed monkey)
Lineage: Eukaryota; Metazoa; Chordata; Mammalia; Primates; Cercopithecidae
Description: lncRNA (ENSRBIG00000045761.1)
Source: RNAcentral
AUGUCAUCCCAGGUGCUGAGCUGUGAGGAGAGUAUCAGGGUUUGGGCUCUGCUGCCUUUCCCCGAAGAACUCACUUGGGAAGCAGUCAGAUUAGAAGAUAAUUCUGAAACAAAUGCCUGCCACUCUUUAAUUACAAAAAUGACGGAUGAGCUGUAUCACCAUAUGCCUGAGAAUCAUUGUGUUUUAAAGGACUUGGGUCAUCUUCCUACUGAGACGUGGCCCCAGCUGCUCCGUGAGCUCUGCAACACACCCGUUCCUACCCUGUUCUGCCCCAGGAUUGUGCUGGAAGUGCUGGUUGUGCUCCGAAGCAUUGGCAAGCAAUGCCACCGCGUGUCUGGCCAGGUCACCGUUGCCUCAGAACUGAGACACAGGCAGUGGGUGGAGAAAAUGCUGCAGUCUCGCCAGUGGCAGAACUACCUGCGUAUGUGGAAUAGGUGCAUGCUCACUUUCCUGUUUUGGAGGGGCACUGUGGGGCAGGAAGUUGUCACAGAUGCAGUUCCAGUCCCCACUGAAGACACACACAGUAGGUCCCUCACUGAACCCAUCGACAGGUGCUGAUGUACUUGGAGUUCACAAUUGAUAGUGUGAACCCAACGUAUCUGAGACAGGUCUCAGUCCGUUUAGAAAGUUUACUUUCCCAGGGUUAAGGACGUGCUGUGACAGCCUCAGGAGGUCCUGCCGGCAUGUGCCCCAGGUACUGGGGGCGCAGCUUGCUUUUAUCCAUUUUAUCCAUUUUAAGG